Molecule: ribosomal RNA, 459 nt
Filed under: uncultured bacterium
Lineage: Bacteria
Description: partial 16S ribosomal RNA
Rfam family: Bacterial small subunit ribosomal RNA
Source: RNAcentral
CCUACGGGUGGCAGCAGUGAGGAAUAUUGGUCAAUGGGCGCGAGCCUGAACCAGCCAAGUCGCGUGAGGGAUGACGACCCUACGGAUUGUAAACCUCUUUUGUCGGGGAGCAAAAGACGCCACGCGUGGCGCUCCGAGAGUACCCGAAGAAAAAGCAUCGGCUAACUCCGUGCCAGCAGCCGCGGUAAUACGGAGGAUGCGAGCGUUAUCCGGAUUUAUUGGGUUUAAAGGGUGCGCAGGCGGAAGAUCAAGUCAGCGGUAAAAUUGAGAGGCUCAACCUCUUCGAGCCGUUGAAACUGGUGUUCUUGAGUGAGCGAGAAGUAGGCGGAAUGUGUGGUGUAGCGGUGAAAUGCAUAGAUAUCACGCAGAACUCCGAUUGCGAAGGCAGCAUACCGGAGCGCAACUGACGCUCAUGCACGAAAGUGUGGGUAUCGAACAGGAUUAGAUACCCCUGUAGUC